RNAcentral lists this long non-coding RNA (468 nucleotides) under Anas platyrhynchos platyrhynchos (common mallard). RNAcentral's name for it is "lncRNA (ENSAPLG00000022694.1)". Lineage: Eukaryota; Metazoa; Chordata; Aves; Anseriformes; Anatidae. The record is from RNAcentral.
UACAUACCCGUUAUGGUAUGUUAUGGUAUGUAUGUAGCUAUUCAUUCAUACCUGUUAUUCGUUUGACAACUUGGACUUUCCAGUUCUGAAAGCUUUUUUUUUUUUUUUAUUCCAGUUUCCAGUCCUGCAAGCUUUUCAUACAUAUCAGUAGGUAUCAUCACAAUAAUUUAGAAGAAAAGUGUUGUUUCAGUAAUAUUUGGCACAGGGCUAAAGAGUCCCAGAGUACCAGAGUCCAGGCUCAAGCAAUAGGACGUCUGACAAGAGAAGAAAGAAAAUCCUGAUGGAGACAGAUCUGCAGCACAGUGAACCAACAGGAUAGUAGGUCUUCAGAAGUAUAAAUACUUCCACAAGACACAAAGGUCCUGAAUCCAAUCUCCAGUAUGAUAUUCUCCAAUGUUAGAAAUCACUUUAGCAGUUUUAAUAGCAGUAAGCAAUAAACCUUAAAUGUACCCAAACUGCUUUUUAUCC